UCAAACUCUAUAUAUAUGGCUAACAAGUUCUCUUUCUUUUUUUGUGUUCUCCUUGUGACAUUGGCUGGUAAGUGAUUUUCAAUAUUCGUCUGUUUGAUCAAAUUUUUAAAAUUUAAUUUUUUUCAAAAGUAUUUUUUUGUUAGAAUAUAUUCUCAGUGAACGAUAAGAUGUGUUCAACUAAUUGAUUAGAUAAAUAUUUUUGUUAAUUUUAAAACAUAAUUUAUAUUUUGAUCAAAUUUUCAAAAAAGUUGUAUUUCUUAUAAAAUAAAUAUCUUUAGCUUAUCGCUUAUCUGUAAUUUGGUCAAAUAAAAUAUUAGUCUCUUUAAUACGUUUACUUUGAUAAAAAUUAUAACUUAUUAGAUUCAUUGUUUAUGUUUUAUAAUUGAUAUUAUUCCUAGAUUAUAUACUAACUAUGAACUCAUUGUUUAUGUUUUAUAAUUGAUAUUAUUCCUAGAUUAUAUACUAACUAUGAACUCAUUGUUUAUGUUUUAUAAUUGAUAUUAUUCCUAGAUUAUAUACUAACUAUGAACUCAUUGUUUAUGUUUUAUAAUUGAUAUUAUUCCUAGAUUAUAUACUAACUAUGAACUCAUUGUUUAUGUUUUAUAAUUGAUAUUAUUCCUAGAUUAUAUACUAACUAUGAACUCAUUGUUUAUGUUUUAUAAUUGAUAUUAUUCCUAGAUUAUAUACUAACUAUGAACGAUUAUUCACAUAAUAUAUAUAGAUUAUAAAGAUAUUAUAUAGUUAUCAAUUAUAUUUAGAUGCUAUUUAUCUAUAAUCAUUUCUCUCUACUUACAUUAAUUUUGACUGAUUUCAUGUUAUAUUAUGUUAUAUUAUGCAGUCGAUUCAUUUUGGUCCUCGAAUAUACAAGUGAUGGCUUUACGAGACAUACCUUUAGAAGUACAAGAAAUUGAGCAGAUUGUACUACCAAAUCUUGGCAAUAAAAAAGGAUGUUACACUCUUUGUUCAUCAGAUGCAAAUUGCAAUUACAAAGGUUCAGAGUGUAGACAAUGUCGAACAGCUCAUAAUCAUUAUGAUAUUACAAAAAGAUGUUAUCAAAGAAUUUAAUUUUAAUAUCAUAUAAUAAAAUUAAUUACUAUUAGUUUUAUGGUCUCAUUUCUUUUUUUAUUAUGAAUAAAUAUAUGUAAUGAGUACUAAAACUCCUAAGUUUGUAAUAGUGUGUUAUUUGUAUUCUUCAUGAGUAUGUUAUUUGAUUUUCUUAAUAAAGAGUGAUCUAGAGAUUAAAAUAAGAUUUUUCUUGUUUCUGC
Molecule: long non-coding RNA, 1265 nt
Filed under: Solanum tuberosum (potato)
Lineage: Eukaryota; Viridiplantae; Streptophyta; Magnoliopsida; Solanales; Solanaceae
Description: long non-coding RNA (STUB_LNC011927)
Source: RNAcentral